GAGGCCAAGUGGGCAGGGGUCCCAGGCACACCAGGCUCCCGCGGCUCGCUAAUCCCAGCGGUUUGUGUCUCUGCUCCCAUGUGUGGACUCGUGAUCAAUGGGUGUCACUACAUGAGUGUCACAGUGUGGGGAGGGGGAAGGGGCUGGCAUGGGAGUGGGGGUAACCUGACCAUCUUGGGAAGAGAGGGCGCUGUCCGGAGUGCCGGCGUGGGCGAUGCAUGGUUACCUGUAUGUGGUGGUCACUGUAUCCCUUGAGAGGGCUGUGAUGCCCUGCCGGGUCCGCCUGGUGGGAAGGGGCAUCGGGAAAGCCCCUUCUUUAGCCCAAUGAGCUGGAGGUGACCAGCAUGGGUAAGGUUUCUUUCUUGGGGAGCCCUUCCCAGGAGGGUCUGUUUGGGGUCGCCCAAGGUGGGAAGCUGGGGAACAGGACAGUACCGCUGAGACCAGACAGGGUGGGGACCGAAGGGCUGGGGUUCCCCCUAUCUUUGGGGAGCGAGGUGGGCAGGGCUCCAUCAGGGCCAGGGUCUUACCUUGGGUCCGGGGUGGAGUGGCCCCUCGGAUGGGCAGCGGGACAGACGGGCUGAUGGAUGGACGGACGGCCGGACGGGGCGGGCAGGAAUGAGGAACCGAGCCGAGCGACGGGCAGAGCCGGGACUCUUAAACCCGGAGCUGGGAUCAGAUAAGGGCUGGUCCGGGGGCCGGGGCCGGGGUCGGGCCGGCCGGGGGCAGAGCUGGGCCGGGCCGGGCCGCCCCCUCCCUCCGCAGCGCCGGAGCCAAACUUUGUGUGAAUGGAGGGGCCCGGAGGGGGCCGGCGGGCGGGGGCGGGGGGCUGCGGGCGGGCCAAUGGGGACGUGGAGCGCCAGGCCCGCGCCGCCGGGAUUGGAGAGGCCGGGGCGGGGGGCGGGGCGCAGGGGGCAAGGAAGCGGAGACCCAGACAGAUGGAGGCGCAGGGCCGAGCGCAGCGCCCGAGGAGCGGGACCCAGACAGACUCCGGGAGGGAAAGGGACGCGAGACGAUGGGCGAAGCGAUAGGGGCUGCGCUGGCACGAUGACAGGGGAGAGGCGGCGGCGGCCGUGUCAGCGACGGGGAGCGGGCGCGGGGGGCGGGCCGGGCCGAGUUAAUGAGCUGGAAAUGAACUCGGGACGGCCCGGUGGCCCUGCGCGCAGCGCCAAGCGGCUGGCUGGGGCUGGGCUCCGGCGCGCUAUCCCCCUGCGGGUCACCGGGCCCUAAGCCCUGCGUGAGGUCCCGGGGGCCGAGUGCGCGGACCAGCCUCCCCGCCAGCAGCCCGCCGGGUCCCGGAGCCGCGACGCGGCGGGGCGCGCGGCGCAGGUGCGAGGCGCUGGAGGCCGCAGAGGGGGCCAGGUCCCUCCACUUAGGGGGUCCUGGCAGAUGUGGGGCAUCUGAUAAGCGCCCUGAAGAGCGCAGAGGAUUCAGGUCCUGGGAGAUGAUGCGCAGGGCGUCCGAGGCAGAAGGAACGCAGUCACCAAGUCCCCGGGACACAUGGAAAUACAAGUCUGCUUGGGAAACGGCGGCACACGGGCCCCCUGGACUAGACAGAGAGCAGGUGACAGUUCUUCUCAUCCCCGCCAUCACCAAGGACUGCUCUCAGUACCCGAAUCCGUGCUUCCAGGGGUUCCAAUCCACAGGCUCCCGCCCUGGGCAUUUAUUAAGGAAAGAAUCAGUUCCCCAUUUUGGUUCAUCAUAGAUAUUUAGAUAUUUAACUAUUAAUCAGUAACCGGCAUUAUCAUCUUGAGUUGAUAUACAUCUUGGAAAAAACAAAAACAAAACAAAACAAAAGCAAAGAGACCUGAAACGUUUUAGUUUAGAUCUGCCUCUAAAAGCCGUAGGCUGGGUAAAUGUACAUUUGAACUAGCCCCCCUGGGGGAGGGAGCUGGGCCGCAAGCCAGGCACCACAGGUGAGGUGUCUGUGUUGGGGCAAGAGAGGACGGUGCCAGCUGGGGGUCAGCUCUGGGUUCCUGGAGGCAAAGUCUUGAGCCGAGGACAGACGAAGCCCUGGCAGAAUUUUAGGAAGAUAAAUCUGGAGGUGAGCGAGAUGGUUUGGAGGGAGGGGCCAGCAGACCGCAAUGCCAGAGCCUUGAUUCUUUUCUCUUUCCUCAUCUGAGCUAACCAGAGCCUGCCCCCUCCUCUCUGCCGCAUCCUUCAGCUGUGCCCCAGGACACCGCCCCUCUCUGGCCAGGAUCUCUGCAGCUGCCCUCUCAUGAGCAUCCCCACCUCCAGUUUCCGUCACUCGAACAAUCCUGCGGAUCAUGAACUCCUACAUUUAAGGCUGAACACCUGUGAGGUACCAGCUCUCUGAAACACAAACCUGACUGUGUCCCUUCCCAAUGUAAAAGCCUUCAGUGGCUGCCCGUCGGCCAGAAGUAAAAUCCAGAUUCCUCGCCGUGGGACAGAAGGCCCGCUAUGACUUAGACCUGGUGUCCUUCCAGCCCCGUCCGCCUCCACUGGCCCUGUGCGCCCAAACCUACAGCCGCUCGCUCCUCCAAUGCCGAAGGAUUCAUUCCUUCCGACUUUGGCCUCGUCUCCUCUUUGACCUUGCUCUGGAAAGAGUGGAGAUGAUUGAUUGCAUUGCACACUAUGGGGCUCCGAGCAACAUUUGAGCUCAACGAAUUUCCAUCAGUAGUGGGCACCUCGUAGCUGGAUGAUCCAGACCACAGAGGACCGCGAGGCGGAGGGACGAGGCUACAUUGCCCCAGUCACUAAAGGAUUAUUGUUUAGGUAUACAUACCCCCUCCCUCCGCGAAAUGCAGUGUACAUAAACCCACAUUUAUAGGACGGAAGUUGAGGGGUGCUUGAUCACAUUGCUAACGGAGUCUUCCCAGAAUUUCUUUAACUAGGUGGCUCCUCUCGUAUCUUUCCAGUUGGGUCCCACGGAUUAAAAUCCCACUGACACCCAAUACACUGUGGUAGCAGGGAGACUACAGGGAAUAAAGAAACAACCAGGGACCAGGAGCUGGGAUGCCUGGUCUUAGUCCUGCCUAAGGACCCAUCCCAGACCUGAAAGGUGAGGACUAAUCCUGGACCACCUCUAAAUGCCAGGACUUUUGAAUCCUGAGCAAUCGGCACCAAUCCUAUCAAGCAAGAUAGACCUGUUGAUGAGAAGGCUCUGAUCCCCUAGUUGUGCUGGAAAGAGCCAGAAGGCCAGGAUGUGCCUCAGCCUGGGGUGCCCAGUGGGGUCCCCCCUGUCCUGGUGCUGUGCUCUGCUCCCCUCCCCCCAUUCGCUCUGACCUCCACCCGCAUCCACUGCUUCAAUCGUAUUCUCCCUCUGCUCUGAGUUUUCUCGGGCCCCAGCUCCCUUAAAUUUAUGACAAUUGUUAUCGUUUCUGCCAGAUUGGCCUCCCUGCUCCACUAAAUUCAUAUCCUCAACCAUCUCCUGUUUUCCCAUCAUACUUCCUCUCCCACCUCCAAGAUUUUACCCAAGAAGUCUCAUGAUCUCGUUCAAGGAAACCUUCCCAGACUGGUUGGUCCCAGGGCUCCCACAUACAGCUGUACAGGCUGUGGACUGCACAAAGGCACUCACUGAGGGGGCAAGCUGAGAACUGAACGGCAUUCGGCUUGCCAAUCCUUGCACCCUGGCUCAGAGCUGUAUCUACUAGAAGGAUUCCCCUUUUUAUUUUUGUUUUUGCCCCAAAGUACCACUUACUCUCCAAGCCACAUGCCAUAAGGAAUGCACCUGCCCAGGGCGGGCUCCUUUUUCUACCUUGUAACGAGGUUCUUUGUGGACCACCUACGUGGCCCCGGCCGUGCCCCUCCCGCCCUCAACAUUCUCAAGUUCCAAACCCAGUCUCCCACCAUCACCACUGUACUGACAUGUUUUACCAAUUCCUCGUAAAGUUGCUUUCCCUGUCGGGAUACCAGAAAGCUGGGAUCUUGCACCCUGGAACCUAAGAAAACUUGAUUCCCUCCCUCUGCUCAAGCUCAAUGAGAAACAAGGGAUUGAAGUUAGAGACCAGGUGAAGUCCAGGACCUGCACAGGGGAGACGGGGGAGGCACCUCAGGGUGGUCAGCGGGACUGAGGCAGGGGGCUGGCUGACACCCUCCGGAUGGGCCUGCCAGCCCCGUGACGCCCCCCCCCCCCACCCUCAGGAAAUGGGGCCAGUUCUAUGCAAAUGCUCUCUUGCCCAGGGGUCCGGUUUCCUCCCUCUGAGCUCCUGGCACAGCAGAGCCAACGUGAGCAGCUGCUUGGCAGGACAGAGAAGGGCAGGCUAGCAGUCCCAAGGCUCAGGUGACAGGGCCGGGCCCAGGAGACGGGGAUGUUGACUGGGGCUUUAACAGCCCUCCUGAUGCCAAUCUCGGGCUGAAAACUCGGUAUUUCCACUUGGAACAAGAAACGUGGGCAGGAGGGCUGGGGAGAGGAGGGCGGUGUACCCGCAGCGCCCCCUGCAGGCCUCACUGGGUGGCACCGAAACAGAGGAAGGAGGAGCAGGGUGGGGGUAUCAGGAGAUGCCCCGGAUGAGGGUAACAAGGAGAAGAGAGACGUAGCCAGCAUCUGCGGAGCAUUUACAAGGUGCCAGGCGCUGCCUCAUGACAACCCCCAAAAGGAGGAUACUCUCUUGGAGAUGGAUAAUUCUCAUUUCUCAGGUGAAGAAAGCGAUCAGAGAGGUCAAGUAACUUGCUCGAAGCCACCCAGCUAGCAGCGGACAGAGCCGGCACUUGAACCCGGGACACUGCCUCCCGAGAUUAUACUACUCAGUCACCACCUUCUCCACCUCCCCAGAUCAUUCCAGCAACUUCUAAGCCUCCAGUGUCCGUUUCUACAUCUUCCCGGCCCCGCAGUGAGGGGGGGACACACGUGGAGGACUGUGGCCGCUCUCUCUGCCUCUGUGACGCUUGGCAACUCUCUUCCCCUUUCUGCUUUAGUGUCUCGUCCCUAAACGGAGAACACCAUACCCCUCUCGGAGGGUGUCUCCCGGGGUCUUUAGAGGAGGUGUGUGGCCGGGUCAUAGCUGGCGCUCAAGGAAUUAUCGGUAGUGAUAUUCGCGUUCUGUGUCUGCCUGUCUUUCUCCCCCACUGGACCACGUGCUCCUCGUGGGCAGCGACUAGGUGUCAUUUCUGUAACCACCCCCACCUAGCACUUUGCCCAGCACCCUGGCUCUGCGGAAGUUGGUCGCACGGAGAGUUUUAAGCCCUCACCUAGGCUUUUCUCUCCGUUGGACGUUUGCGUUGUUUCCACACUUUUCGCUAGUAGCAAAAUACACUUUAAAGCCCUUCUA
Molecule: long non-coding RNA, 5228 nt
Organism: Acinonyx jubatus (cheetah)
Lineage: Eukaryota; Metazoa; Chordata; Mammalia; Carnivora; Felidae
Exons: 2
Source: RefSeq, a predicted model, not a curated record